AGUGAACGCUGGCGGUAGGCCUAACACAUGCAAGUCGAACGGCAGCACAGUAAGAGCUUGCUCUUACGGGUGGCGAGUGGCGGACGGGUGAGGAAUACAUCGGACUCUACUUUUUCGUGGGGGAUAACGUAGGGAAACUUACGCUAAUACCGCAUACGACCUACGGGUGAAAGCAGGGGAUCUUCGGACCUUGCGCGAUUGAAUGAGCCGAUGUCGGAUUAGCUAGUUGGCGGGGUAAAGGCCCACCAAGGCGACGAUCCGUAGCUUGUCUGAGAGGAGGAUAGGCCAUACGGGAACGGAGACAGGGUCCAGAGUCCUACGGGAGGCAGCAGUGGGGAAUAUGGGACAAUGGGCGCAAGCCUGAUCCAGCCAUACCACGUGGGUGAAGAAGGCCUUCGGGUUGUAAAGCCCGUUUGUUGGGAAAGAAAAGCAGCAGGUUAAGACCCCGCUGUUCUGACGGUACCCAAAGAAUAAGCACCGGCUAACUUCGUG
RNAcentral lists this ribosomal RNA (492 nucleotides) under uncultured bacterium. RNAcentral describes it as "partial 16S ribosomal RNA". It matches the Rfam family "Bacterial small subunit ribosomal RNA", at positions 29 to 507 of the family's 1533-position model. The record is from RNAcentral.